RNAcentral lists this ribosomal RNA (205 nucleotides) under uncultured bacterium. RNAcentral's name for it is "partial 16S ribosomal RNA". It matches the Rfam family "Bacterial small subunit ribosomal RNA", at positions 524 to 718 of the family's 1533-position model. The record is from RNAcentral.
UACGGUAGGGUGCGAGCGUUAAUCGGAAUUACUGGGACGUGAAAGCGGUGCGUCAGGCGGUUUUGUAAGCCAGAUGUGAAAAUCCCCGGGCUUAACCUGGGAAUUGGCAUUUGGGACUGACAAGGCUGGAGUUUGGCAGAGGAGACUGGAAUUCCUGGUGUAAGCAGUGAAAUGCGUAGAUAAUCAGGAGGAAUACCGAUGGCGA